This 578-nucleotide long non-coding RNA is filed under the name Lonchura striata (white-rumped munia). RNAcentral's name for it is "domestica (Bengalese finch) lncRNA (ENSLSDG00000013139.1)". Lineage: Eukaryota; Metazoa; Chordata; Aves; Passeriformes; Estrildidae. The record is from RNAcentral.
CCUCCUGUCCCGCAGCUGGUGGCGCUGGCCGCCCUCCUCUGCUUCGUGGCCUCGGGCGCGCACAGCGCCUACACGGCGCUGGCCGGCAUGGAGACGGCGAUCACCGCCCUGUUCCUGCUGAUCUACCUGCUGAGGCUCGACGCGCGGAUGCGCUGCCUCUUUUGGCCGCUGGCUGUGUUGGGUCUUAUGUUGCUUGUUCUCUGCAUUGUCGACGUGGUUCUUCUUUACAAGAAGAUUAGUCUUGAUAAAGCAAGAGGAAGGAGUGCUCCUGCCAAAUAAGAAUGACACGUUAGUGAAAGAAUGAGUUCUCCAUUCUGUUUUUCCACUCUCUUUUAAAGCAUUUGUAUUUUUGUGUGCUCAAUUUUGAAUUUCCUGUGCACUGAUGUUUCUGCAAGUAUCAUUCAUAAGGUUUUGUACUUUUCCAAAUGCAGUUUGAGCAUUGCGAUUUCACCAGUUAAAGCUUCAGUGAAAAUUGUCAUGUUUUUCUAAAAUUACUUCUGUUUUUACUGUUAGAAAAAUUAUUGUCAUGGUUGUCUUCUUUCUUUAAUAAAAAGAAAAUACAAACGGGCUUAAGUGCA